Molecule: non-coding RNA, 1467 nt
Organism: Pelobates cultripes (western spadefoot toad)
Lineage: Eukaryota; Metazoa; Chordata; Amphibia; Anura; Pelobatidae
Source: the annotation of a GenBank genome assembly
CUUGUCAUCACUGUUCAUAUACAAAUGGUCGAAAGGGGAGCCGACCAAACUGACGAAAGAACUACCGAAUGGCGACCACCUAUACUCUGACGUGUGUCUCUAAUUAAACUGCGGUUUCUGUGGUUAACCGCAAGAUAAUCACUUAUCCCAAGGUAGUCACCACUCAUAUGCCGAACACAAGGCGGCGGCCAUCUUUUGCCAUCGAAUGCUCAGCGGGACUUGAUCGUCAAACCCCUGGAACUAUUAUCAGACACUAGUUUGCACGGAUCCCGCUGAGGUGCCGGUUGUCCCAUCUGAUUGGACAAAAAGACACGAAAGCCAUACAGACACUUUAUUCCCGGGCCUUUCAGAGACUAUUCGUGAGAUCUGAGCGUAAUUUGUAUGUUUUGUGCGCUCAGAUCCAAGCUGUCUGGAGAUGGGUCGGAUGGGUCAUGUUAGUGUUAUCAUGUGAAAGUUAUGUAUUUUUAUCCUGUUUUCUUUUGUGGAAUAAAACGUGGGUAUUUCAUGUGCCUGGAGAUAAUUGAGUUACUGUAACCGUUGAGAUCAAUUAUCUCCAGGGUAGGGAGGAGUGUUUCAGAAAAUGCACUUUGUUCCUAUUGGCUGUGACACUGUAUUGUUCUUUGUACCAUCAGGUCCAGAGGGGUGUUCCUCUGGCCUGGAAACUUGAAUUUAAUCCGUGCAUGAGUACCCAUUAAACCAGUUCAUUUUACCCUCAACUCGCAGCCUCGACUAGCUCUACUCGUAGCUAGUGUGGAAUAUCUACAUUUCCAGGAUUAUUACUGUAUGUAGAUCGGAGCGGCGCUCUCACUCUCCAAUACUGGGAACCAGGACAUAUAAGCGGUCUAACUUCCAGCUAGCCUGGAGGCAACCGUAACAACCAGCUCUUGCUAACACUUCCUUGGAACUAUUUUCGUCUUCUACCUCGUGGCCGACUGGUCAGAACUUCCCUGCGAUGGUGAUCCAAAACUACCAAAUGGAUCUGGGUGAUCUUUGGAUAUGUUGCUCACCCAGAUCCAUGCCAUCCAUGGAUGUGACUCUUGUGGGCUUCCCAUGCAUUUUGGGGGUACUUUUGGGGUGUUCCAAAAUUGUACGCCAUCCAUGGCAGUCAUAUUGUGACAGGCCGCCACAUUUGGUGGCAAGUGGGAUCAUCCCUUUUCCUGGACUGCUAAUCUGCGGUUGGCACUGGUGUACAGUGAAUGGAAGGCUGGUACACACAGCUUAAGCUCAGCACAUUGAAAGAAUUAUUAGGAGUUUGUGGAGGUACUCCCAGCAACAAAGCCAAGCAGGUCAUAAUCAGCGAAUUAAUGGAGCUAGACCGGGAGAACUUGGCUGCGGCAACACCAACCAUUCAUGAGAAUGAGACGGAAACCAACAGGGAGAUUCGGGAAUGACUGGCACUGUUCAGGCCAAACCCAUCUCCCAAAAUAUUAAUGCAAGUAAUAAACAAUGUUACCACGAAUGCAAACC